ACGCUGGCGGCAGGCCUAACACAUGCAAGUCGAGCGGUAGAGAGAAGCUUGCUUCUCUUGAGAGCGGCGGACGGGUGAGUAAUGCCUAGGAAUCUGCCUGGUAGUGGGGGAUAACGUCCGGAAACGGACGCUAAUACCGCAUGCGUCCUACGGGAGAAAGCAGGGGACCUUCGGGCCUUGCGCUAUCAGAUGAGCCUAGGUCGGAUUAGCUAGUUGGUGGGGUAAUGGCUCACCAAGGCGACGAUCCGUAACUGGUCUGAGAGGAUGAUCAGUCACACUGGAACUGAGACACGGUCCAGACUCCUACGGGAGGCAGCAGUGGGGAAUAUUGGACAAUGGGCGAAAGCCUGAUCCAGCCAUGCCGCGUGUGUGAAGAAGGUCUUCGGAUUGUAAAGCACUUUAAGUUGGGAGGAAGGGCAGUAAAUUAAUACUUUGCUGUUUUGACGUUACCGACAGAAUAAGCACCGGCUAACUCUGUGCCAGCAGCCGCGGUAAUACAGAGGGUGCAAGCGUUAAUCGGAAUUACUGGGCGUAAAGCGCGCGUAGGUGGUUCGUUAAGUUGGAUGUGAAAUCCCCGGGCUCAACCUGGGAACUGCAUUCAAAACUGACGAGCUAGAGUAUGGUAGAGGGUGGUGGAAUUUCCUGUGUAGCGGUGAAAUGCGUAGAUAUAGGAAGGAACACCAGUGGCGAAGGCGACCACCUGGACUGAUACUGACACUGAGGUGCGAAAGCGUGGGGAGCAAACAG
Molecule: ribosomal RNA, 747 nt
Filed under: uncultured bacterium
Lineage: Bacteria
Description: bacterial SSU rRNA
Rfam family: Bacterial small subunit ribosomal RNA
Source: RNAcentral